GUAAGGAAUAUUGGUCAAUGGACGAAAGUCUGAACCAGCCAUGCCGCGUGGAGGAUGAAGGUCCUCUGGAUUGUAAACUUCUUUUAUAUGGGACGAAAAUGGGGCUUUCUAGCUCAACUGACGGUACCAUAUGAAUAAGCACCGGCUAACUCCGUGCCAGCAGCCGCGGUAAUACGGAGGGUGCAAGCGUUAUCCGGAUUCACUGGGUUUAAAGGGUGCGUAGGUGGAUUGGUAAGUCAGAGGUGAGAUCUCCGGGCUCAACUCGUAAACUGCCUUUGAUACUAUCAAUCUUGGAUAUUGUUGAGGUUAGCGGAAUAUGUCAUGUAGCGGUGAAAUGCUUAGAUAGGACAUAGAACACCAAUUGCGAAGGCAGCUGGCUACACAUAUAUUGACACUGAGGCACGAAAGCGUGGGGAUCAAACAGGAUUAGAAACCCGGGUAGUCC
This 445-nucleotide ribosomal RNA is filed under the name uncultured bacterium. RNAcentral's name for it is "partial 16S ribosomal RNA". It matches the Rfam family "Bacterial small subunit ribosomal RNA", at positions 354 to 796 of the family's 1533-position model. The record is from RNAcentral.